This 1006-nucleotide long non-coding RNA is filed under the name Sus scrofa (pig). RNAcentral describes it as "lncRNA (ENSSSCG00060065831.1)". The record is from RNAcentral. Lineage: Eukaryota; Metazoa; Chordata; Mammalia; Artiodactyla; Suidae.
ACUCUUUUCCACACAGCGCCGGAAUGUAUGUGUCGUUCCUCUGCAUUUUGUGUCCUUGGAGCCGUAUCUUCGCGGUACCUCCUAGAGCUUCGCCAGCAGAGCACGGUGUCAAACUUCUGAAUUUUUGCCAGUCGGAUGGAGGAGAAAUGGCACCUCAGCCUGGCCUCCCUCAGCAUCUCUCUUAUACGAGCAAAGUUAAUGCCUUCUCAUGUAUCCAAGGGCCAUUUUUGCAACCUUUUGGGGAAACUGUUUUUCUUGCCCUUUGCUCAUUUUUCUCCAUGAUUUUUGCGCUUUUGUUUCUUGACUUUUAAAAAGUUCCUUGUAUAUGAAAGCCAUUCACCUUUUAUCAGUGAAAGCACGGGCUCAUCAAGAAGCUCUGGUUUUCUCCUGCCCGGACCCUCCCACGGAGCCUGCGGCCAGGAGGAAGUCAGCAGGAAGCAUGUUGGCACAGCCUCGGUGGAAGCGAAAGACCACACGCUGGAAUCCCAAAGCUUCAACUAUUCAUCAGCUGCCCAGUGCGCCAGUGGCGGUUCGGAGUGGCUGUUAGCCUGGCAUUGACGCUAAACCUGGAGCAACAAGGACCGAAAUUCAGCCCAAACGACUGUUGGCACCUCCACCUCUGAGGUCUCGUGGAAAUUGGAUGAUCAAUUUUUAAGUGGCUUUAAUGAAAUAUUACUUCCUUCUCCUUUGAAAUCGAUUUCACCAAAGCCAAAGCUUUAGAUCAGGUGAAAUCGCUCUUGGAAUAUGCCAGAGACAGGAUCCACCAACAGGCAGGUCUUCUCCGCCACUGACUGCCAGGAAGUGUCAAAGAACUGGGAGCCAGAGAUGGUUCUAUGGUCUCGGGAGGGAGCAGGGCCCAUGCUUCCCUCACCAGUCCCUGACUCAGGGGGUGGCAGUGAGUGUCAGGGAGUGACUGGCAGCGUCCCGACAGAGUGAAAGAAUGAGCGAAUGAAUACGCACGAAGCCAGCCUGUUAGGCUCCGUCACGGAAAUGCUUGCUUUGCCUC